RNAcentral lists this ribosomal RNA (253 nucleotides) under uncultured bacterium. RNAcentral describes it as "partial 16S ribosomal RNA". It matches the Rfam family "Bacterial small subunit ribosomal RNA", at positions 524 to 776 of the family's 1533-position model. The record is from RNAcentral.
UACGUAGGGUGCAAGCGUUAAUCGGAAUUACUGGGCGUAAAGCGUGCGCAGGCGGUUAUGUAAGACAGAUGUGAAAUGCCCGGGCUUAACCUGGGAACUGCAUUUGUGACUGCAUGGCUAGAGUUUGGCAGAGGGGGGUAGAAUUCCACGUGUAGCAGUGAAAUGCGUAGAUAUGCGGAGGAACACCGAUGGCGAAGGCAAUCCCCUGGGCCUGUACUGACGCUCAUGCACGAAAGCGUGGGGAGCAAACAGG